RNAcentral lists this ribosomal RNA (483 nucleotides) under uncultured bacterium. RNAcentral describes it as "partial 16S ribosomal RNA". It matches the Rfam family "Bacterial small subunit ribosomal RNA", at positions 28 to 523 of the family's 1533-position model. The record is from RNAcentral.
GAUGAACGCUGGCGGCGUGCCUAAUACAUGCGAGUCGAGCGAACCAUUUCGGUGGUGAGCGGCGAACGGGUGAGUAACACGUAGGUAAUCUACCCAUUAGACGGGGACAACGACUGGAAACGGUCGCUAAUACCGGAUAGGACGAAAGUUUAAAGAUGCUUCGGCAUCACUAAUGGAUGAGCCUGCGGCGCAUUAGCUAGUUGGAGAGGUAAGAGCUCCCCAAGGCGACGAUGCGUAGCCGACCUGAGAGGGUGAACGGCCACACUGGGACUGGAAAACGGCCCAAACUCCUACGGGAGGCAGCAGUAGGGAAUCUUCGGCAAUGGACGAAAGUAUGACCGAGCAACGCCGCGUGAGUGAAGAAGGUUUUCGGAUCGUAAAACUCUGUUGUUAGAGAAGAACAAGGAUGAGAGUAAAAUGUUCAUCCCUUGACGGUAUCUAACCAGAAAGCCACGGCUAACUACGUGCCAGCGGCCGCCGUAA